RNAcentral lists this long non-coding RNA (2723 nucleotides) under Homo sapiens (human). Its description in RNAcentral is "non-protein coding lnc-CLVS1-6:1". Lineage: Eukaryota; Metazoa; Chordata; Mammalia; Primates; Hominidae. The record is from RNAcentral.
AACCUUUGCCGCCAAGCACCAAGGAAAGGUGUGUGGGAUGCCUCUGCCCCCUGCCCCUUCUGCUCUUUUCUAAUGGCUUUUCUCCUUCAAACUGCCUUUGAUGGAAACCUCAUUUGACACAUGUUGGGCACAAAGAAAAGGAGAGAAUUCAGAGUCACCUGUAGGUCUCUUACCCUCUGGCCAUUUUUCUCUGACCUGUCAUCAAUGAAGGCCUGGGAGAUACUGUGGACUCAGAAUUAAAACAUUUUCCUUGGUUGAGGCUAAAAGGUGGGUUAAAAGUCCUGUAAUUCUUGAGAAGAAUCCCCACCAAUCAACAGAAAAUCCUCCUUCCUCCUGUCCCCACUCUCAGGACUCCCAGGGAAAAUGCAAGUUGUUGGGGUAGAAAGAUGGCAUGUUCAGCAUGACUGGCAAAAAUUUGGCCUGCCUCUGGCUCUGAUCCUGCAGAAUAACAAUUCUGUAAUAAGUAAGGCACCAAGCCAGAGAUAUUGGCCAAAGGAAUUUACAACUGGGAGUAGGGGGUGGGGUGACAUUACCAAUAGGCAACAGUCCAAGGCCUGCAAAGGACGCUGUACUGACAGAAUUCCAUCUCUCUCUGACCCACUGUUUUCUGCAAGGCAAGCACAGCAACCAUUUCAGAAGCCCUCACUCCAGACUGGGCAUACCUCUUUUCAGUUAUUCUAGCAGGAGUGGAGAAGAGGUUCUUGCAGUUGCUACCAUCUGCAGGUAGUAAUCAGAAUUUAAGAUAGUUAAGGAGAGAAUUGCUAUAUGGCAGUUGUACCUGACAGCAAUAACAUAACUUAAGCAUACCUUGAGAAUAACCCUAUGAUCUAAAAAGAAUGUGUGUUCAGAGUUCCAAACUAAGGAAUCUGGGAGUGGCCAACCUGAAAAUUCAUUUCUUAUCUAUGAGCAAAAUCUAAACCUCUAGCCCAUUCUGUGGAAGGCAGGCUGUAGAGGGGAUGGAGGCCCUUUGUUUUGGGUUAAAUGAAGGUUGCCAAGUAGAGGUUGCUAGGGGGAGGGUACUAAGUGAAAAUGCUAUAUAAACUACUUGCUUUUUUAUAAGCAGUUGUUGUUCUCCUGCCCAGGGCACUGCCAGUGGACCCCUUGUAUUAAGUCCUCUUAAUAAACCCUAUGUCUUGUUUGCCGGCUCCAGUUCCCUUCUUCGGCCUUUGAACCUGGUGCCUUCCCUACUGAAGUUAAUAGGGGGCCAGCAUGACAACCUCAUGUUACUCCUUCUGUUCCCCUCCCAGCCUUACAGGGCCUACCACAUUGUCAGCUGGUCCUUGGGCCAGUGGUGGGUAAUGUAACGAUCCUUUGUGAUACCUUCUCUGCAAUAUUCCCUGCACCGAAAAGAUUACCAGUCUCCAAAGCCGUGAUUCUGUGGUUGCUCUGAACACUCUCCAACUGUUUUCUGAAUGGCCAAAAGCUGGAACAAUAACCAAAAGAUGGAAGUGCCAUUUCCCCAACUUAUGAGGUAAUAGUCUCAUGGCAGUGACUGAUAGCUGGCUUCCCCGCACUGUCCCUGACUCUUCCUAGGCUUUCUUCCACAUAUUCUUACUUCCUUAUUGCCAACUCAUCCCCCUCAGAAGUCCAAAUGUAAUUAGAACUGUCAAGAAGGAUUCCAGAGUUCCUCGCUUUAUCCUGUGCAUCUUCGGGGCCACUGCCACUGUCAAUACGUUCCUUCUAAAGGGACAGGGGGCAGAGCUACAGGGACAUGGCACUUUCACUCCAACUCAACCUCUGUCACCCCGAUGAGCUCUCCCCAUGCUCGGGAAUCUUGGGGUCCAAGGCCUCUCUCUUCUCCAUCUCCUUGUUCCAGUUUAUAAAUUAGAUUUGCUCCCAAUUUCUUAAUUCAUGAAGUUUCCUCUGCCUAACCAUUUUCAAGGAAACUGAAUAUUUGUGUUUAUCUGUAAUCGUGUAGCAUUACCAGCUCUAUUCAAAUUUUAGUGCACAACAAAUUUUCUGCUUGUAAAAAUGACUCAUUUUCUCUAUAUUUUACUUCUGAGAUGGUAUAAUUAAAGCAGUGCUAAUUGAUCCAAUUAAAUGCUGUGUCCCCAGUAUAAACUAGGCAGGCAUGUGCAAGACUCUUUCAUAUUCUAUGUUACACAUUGUUAUAACUAUUCCCUGAUUGGGGUUAGAAAGUCUUGGCUUCUGAAUAUCAGAAAGAGAGAGAGAGAGAGAGAAAUAGCAUUUAACUAACAGUGCCAGAAAUCUGAUUCUGCCUCUAACUAGCUGUACUGUGGAACCCCAAGAAACUCACUUGGCUUCUACUGUAUCACUUGUCUCAUAUGCUAAUAGUGGCUUGUCAUCACGGAUUCCUAUGUCUUUAAUAAUCUAAUGAAAGCUAUGGACCAUCAUGAGAAAUAUUAUCAUAGCCAUAAAGUUUCCUAGACAAUUUUAGAGAAUCAUGUGCCCAAGGUUAAGAAUAUCCACACUAGAAGAUAAGGUUUAUUCUCCCCCCUCACGUUCCAUGAUAUUAAGCCUUGGUAACUGCUAUUGGAAAUGGUCUUUUGCAUUUUCUUAGUCUAUUCAUAAGGCUAGUGGCUGAGGGUGGCAAAUGAGUUGUCUUGUAUCCAAGGACACUUUGAAUGCUAUCAACUACAGUGUGAAGAGAAUGCUCAAGAUCUCUACAUAAAAUAUAAAUGUGGUUAUAACAAUGAUUCUAUUACUGAUGCGGUGGAUUUACUCAGUCUGACUGCCUUUCACACAAUAUGAAACUUUCCUGG